CGGUUAAGUUAGAAAGGGCGCACGGUGGAUGCCUUGGCACUAGGAGCCGAUGAAGGACGGGACGAACACCGAUAUGCUUCGGGGAGCUGUAAGCAAGCUUUGAUCCGGAGAUUUCCGAAUGGGGAAACCCACCACUCGUAAUGGAGUGGUAUCCAUAUCUGAAUACAUAGGAUAUGAGAAGGCAGACCCGGGGAACUGAAACAUCUAAGUACCCGGAGGAAGAGAAAGCAAAUGCGAUUCCCUGAGUAGCGGCGAGCGAAACGGGACCAGCCCAAACCAAGAGGCUUGCCUCUUGGGGUUGUAGGACACUCUGUACGGAGUUACAAAGGAACGAGGUAGAUGAAGAGGUCUGGAAAGGCCCGCCAUAGAAGGUAACAGCCCUGUAGUCAAAACUUCGUUCUCUCCUGAGUGGAUCCUGAGUACGGCGGAACACGUGAAAUUCCGUCGGAAUCCGGGAGGACCAUCUCCCAAGGCUAAAUACUCCCUAGUGACCGAUAGUGAACCAGUACCGUGAGGGAAAGGUGAAAAGCACCCGGAAGGGGAGUGAAAGAGAUCCUGAAACCGUGUGCCUACAAGUAGUCAGAGCCCGUUAAUGGGUGAUGGCGUGCCUUUUGUAGAAUGAACCGGCGAGUUACGAUCCCGUGCAAGGUUAAGCAGAAGAUGCGGAGCCGCAGCGAAAGCGAGUCUGAAUAGGGCGAAUUGAGUACGUGGUCGUAGACCCGAAACCAGGUGAUCUACCCAUGUCCAGGGUGAAGUUCAGGUAACACUGAAUGGAGGCCCGAACCCACGCACGUUGAAAAGUGCGGGGAUGAGGUGUGGGUAGGGGUGAAAUGCCAAUCGAACCUGGAGAUAGCUGGUUCUCUCCGAAAUAGCUUUAGGGCUAGCCUCAAGGUAAGAGUCUCGGAGGUAGAGCACUGAUUGGACUAGGGGCCCCUACCGGGUUACCGAAUUCAGUCAAACUCCGAAUGCCGAUGACUUAUCCUUGGGAGUCAGACUGCGAGUGAUAAGAUCCGUAGUCGAAAGGGAAACAGCCCAGACCGCCAGCUAAGGUCCCAAAGUAUACGUUAAGUGGAAAAGGAUGUGGAGUUGCUUAGACAACCAGGAUGUUGGCUUAGAAGCAGCCACCAUUUAAAGAGUGCGUAAUAGCUCACUGGUCGAGUGACUCUGCGCCGAAAAUGUACCGGGGCUAAACGUAUCACCGAAGCUGCGGACUGUUCUUCGAACAGUGGUAGGAGAGCGUUCUAAGGGCUGUGAAGCAAGACCGGAAGGACUUGUGGAGCGCUUAGAAGUGAGAAUGCCGGUAUGAGUAGCGAAAGAGGGGUGAGAAUCCCCUCCACCGAAUGCCUAAGGUUUCCUGAGGAAGGCUCGUCCGCUCAGGGUUAGUCGGGACCUAAGCCGAGGCCGAAAGGCGUAGGCGAUGGAUAACAGGUUGAUAUUCCUGUACCACCUCCUCACCAUUUGAGCAAUGGGGGGACGCAGGAGGAUAGGGUAAGCGCGGUAUUGGAUAUCCGCGUCCAAGCAGUUAGGCUGGGAAAUAGGCAAAUCCGUUUCCCGUGAAGGCUGAGCUGUGAUGGCGAGCGAAUUAUAGUAGCGAAGUUCCUGAUUCCACACUGCCAAGAAAAGCCUCUAGCGAGGUGAGAGGUGCCCGUACCGCAAACCGACACAGGUAGGCGAGGAGAGAAUCCUAAGGUGAUCGAGAGAACUCUCGUUAAGGAACUCGGCAAAAUGACCCCGUAACUUCGGGAGAAGGGGUGCUCUGUUAGGGUGCAAGCCCGAGAGAGCCGCAGUGAAUAGGCCCAGGCGACUGUUUAGCAAAAACACAGGUCUCUGCGAAGCCGUAAGGCGAAGUAUAGGGGCUGACGCCUGCCCGGUGCUGGAAGGUUAAGAGGAGCGCUUAGCGUAAGCGAAGGUGCGAAUUGAAGCCCCAGUAAACGGCGGCCGUAACUAUAACGGUCCUAAGGUAGCGAAAUUCCUUGUCGGGUAAGUUCCGACCCGCACGAAAGGCGCAACGAUCUGGGCACUGUCUCAACGAGAGACUCGGUGAAAUUAUAGUACCUGUGAAGAUGCAGGUUACCCGCGACAGGACGGAAAGACCCCGUGGAGCUUUACUGCAGCCUGAUAUUGAAUGUUGGUACAGCUUGUACAGGAUAGGUAGGAGCCUUGGAAACCGGAGCGCCAGCUUCGGUGGAGGCAUCGGUGGGAUACUACCCUGGCUGUAUUGACCUUCUAACCCGCCGCCCUUAUCGGGCAGGGAGACAGUGUCAGGUGGGCAGUUUGACUGGGGCGGUCGCCUCCUAAAAGGUAACGGAGGCGCCCAAAGGUUCCCUCAGAAUGGUUGGAAAUCAUUCGCAGAGUGUAAAGGCACAAGGGAGCUUGACUGCGAGACCUACAAGUCGAGCAGGGACGAAAGUCGGGCUUAGUGAUCCGGUGGUUCCGCAUGGAAGGGCCAUCGCUCAACGGAUAAAAGCUACCCCGGGGAUAACAGGCUUAUCUCCCCCAAGAGUCCACAUCGACGGGGAGGUUUGGCACCUCGAUGUCGGCUCAUCGCAUCCUGGGGCUGUAGUCGGUCCCAAGGGUUGGGCUGUUCGCCCAUUAAAGCGGUACGCGAGCUGGGUUCAGAACGUCGUGAGACAGUUCGGUCCCUAUCCGUCGCGGGCGCAGGAAAUUUGAGAGGAGCUGUCCUUAGUACGAGAGGACCGGGAUGGACGCACCGCUGGUGUACCAGUUGUUCUGCCAAGGGCAUCGCUGGGUAGCUAUGUGCGGACGGGAUAAGUGCUGAAAGCAUCUAAGCAUGAAGCCCCCCUCAAGAUGAGAUUUCCCAUUCCGCAAGGAAGUAAGAUCCCUGAAAGAUGAUCAGGUUGAUAGGUCUGAGGUGGAAGUGUGGCGACACAUGGAGCUGACAGAUACUAAUCGAUCGAGGACUUAACCAAUUU
This 2933-nucleotide ribosomal RNA is filed under the name Bacillus velezensis. RNAcentral's name for it is "23S ribosomal RNA". It matches the Rfam family "Bacterial large subunit ribosomal RNA". Lineage: Bacteria; Bacillati; Bacillota; Bacilli; Caryophanales; Bacillaceae. The record is from RNAcentral.